UAAGUCGGUGGUGAAAUCCUGCAGCUCAACUGUAGAACUGCCAUUGAAACUGUGAGUCUUGAAUUAAUUUGAAGUUGGCGGAAUGAGUAGUGUAGCGGUGAAAUGCAUAGAUAUUACUCAGAACACCGAUUGCGAAGGCAGCUGACUAAGAUUAUAUUGACGCUGAUGGACGAAAGCGUAGGUAGCGAACAGGAUUAGAUACCCUGGUAGUCUACGCAGUAAACGAUGGAUACUAGUUGUCGGGAAAUUGAGACUCGGUGGCUAAGCGAAAGUGAUAAGUAUCCCACCUGGGGAGUACGAUCGCAAGAUUGAAACUCAAAGGAAUUGACGGGGGCCCGCACAAGCGGUGGAGCAUGUGGUUUAAUUCGAUGAUACGCGAGGAACCUUACC
Molecule: ribosomal RNA, 390 nt
Filed under: uncultured Bacteroidota bacterium
Lineage: Bacteria; Pseudomonadati; Bacteroidota
Description: bacterial SSU rRNA
Rfam family: Bacterial small subunit ribosomal RNA
Source: RNAcentral